This 1669-nucleotide long non-coding RNA is filed under the name Canis lupus familiaris (dog). RNAcentral's name for it is "lncRNA (ENSCAFG00000041051.2)". The record is from RNAcentral. Lineage: Eukaryota; Metazoa; Chordata; Mammalia; Carnivora; Canidae.
UUGGUAUUUAAAAAAAAAAAAAAAAAAAAAAGGUAGCAAAAGAAAAGAGAGAAAGAAUCAAAGCCUCAAGCGUCAUGUCUAGGAAUAGCCUCGGAGCCAGGCCAAGUCAUUAUAGACGAUGAGUAAUCCGGUUAAGUCAUUUCUCUAAACACCAUUCCUUGUAAGAGAAUUAAAAUAUCAGUUUACAUCAGAGGGGGAGAGGCAGGCUCCAGAGGCCCGGCCGGGAGCGCAGCCAGGAGGGGGCGCGGCUGGCGCGCCGCUGCCGCUCGCUCGGCCCAGCCUCGGGGCGGGGGCGGGAUGCCAGGGCCCUGACAGCUGGACCCUGGGCUCGGGCAGGCGGCCAGCUAGCGGGGGGUGGGGGGGGGGAGCGGCCCGCCAGGCCUCAGUUUACCAGAUGGUAAGGGCUUCAGGGAAAGUUUGGGGCUGCUCCCUGUCGGAAGAAUCGGUGUCCCUCGUGGGGGCAGCCCAGCAAGGUGAAUGGUGUGGGCACUAGGCAAGAGGGGGCUGGGCUGCUCUUUUCUUCAGUGUCCCCUAUUUCCUCCCGGAUUUCAGAGUUCCUGUCUCGGCAGCUGCAGGCCUACUGUCGGGGCGAAGGGCUGAGGACUGGCCUGAGGACACGGAGAGAGUAAAAGCGAGUGUUACCCGAACUUGCCUCUGACUGGGCAAAUUUGGUGUGCUACUGGGUCUAUGGAAGAAAGUAACCAGGAUGCCAGGAGGAAUUAUGAGCAAGGCUGGAUUGCCAGGGUGGAAUGGAACAGGAGAGCCUAGAGGGCUCUUCUCAUCCGGCUGUGGUUUCUGACCUUUGCAGACCCCAGCUCUGCUCAACUAUCCAGCCUUUGCAGUCACAGAAACUCUCUGGCUCAGGGACCCUGGUGGACUCAAGGCUGUUAAAAAAGAAGAAGAAGAAGAAUGUAUGGGGUGCCUGGCUGGCUCAGUCGGAAGAGCGUGCAACUCUUGAUCUCAGGGUGGUGAGUCUGAGCCCCCCAUUCAAUGGGAAGAUUACUUAAAGUUAAAAAAAAAUGUGACUGAGAUCUUAAGCCUAACAUAUUCACUAUCUGACCUGUUACAACCCAACAGCACCCUGCAGAGUGGUGGCUGAGCCCUAUCCCGAGGCUGCCAGGCUCCUGCUUUUCCUUCAGCAUUGCAGCGAUUCCAAGUCUGGGGAGGUGGCCUGUGAACCUUGGGUCAGCUGCUUGUGGGAGCCAGGGGUUGGAGAGCGGGCCAGUGGAUGCUUCAUCCCCCUUUCCUGCCAUUGCUCUGAAAGGAGUAUAUCUUGUUACCUGUUAUCUGGGCGUCUCCAAGCACAGGACUGAAUUCAGAGAAUACAAUGCUGAUUUCUAUACCCCUGUGGUCUGACCUGUUUAUGGAAAACUCUGUUGAUCAAAAUACCCAAGCACAUGCAUGCACAACAUGCACGCACAUGUAGGGACAUUCUGGAGAACUGAUUUUUCUGGGUAACUGAGGGUUAACUGGAAGCCUGUGUCCUUAUGCCUUAUCGAAAAUUUCUCUACAAAUGGCGAGCAUUUCCCCAGUUUAGUAUUUUGAAAAGUUCCACCACUUUCUAAAUAUGUGACCUUGGUUGAGUUACCUAACCUCAGUAACCUCAGUUUCCUUAUCUGUAAAAUACGCAGAGCAAUACCUCCUGGGUUGUGACAAGCACUAGAAAGAG